This 434-nucleotide ribosomal RNA is filed under the name uncultured bacterium. RNAcentral's name for it is "partial 16S ribosomal RNA". It matches the Rfam family "Bacterial small subunit ribosomal RNA", at positions 29 to 508 of the family's 1533-position model. The record is from RNAcentral.
AACGAACGCUGGCGGCAUGCCUAACACAUGCAAGUCGAACGAGACCUUCGGGUCUAGUGGCGCACGGGUGCGUAACGCGUGGGAACCUGCCCUUAGGUUCGGAAUAACUCCCCGAAAGGGGUGCUAAUACCGGAUAAUGUCUUCGGACCAAAGAUUUAUCGCCUUUGGAUGGGCCCGCGUUGGAUUAGCUAGUUGGUAGGGUAAAAGCCUACCAAGGCGACGAUCCAUAGCUGGUCUGAGAGGAUGAUCAGCCACACUGGGACUGAGACACGGCCCAGACUCCUACGGGAGGCAGCAGUGGGGAAUAUUGGACAAUGGGCGAAAGCCUGAUCCAGCAAUGCCGCGUGAGUGAUGAAGGCCCUAGGGUUGUAAAGCUCUUUUACCCGGGAUGAUAAUGACAGUACCGGGAGAAUAAGCUCCGGCUAACUCCGUGC